RNAcentral lists this ribosomal RNA (476 nucleotides) under uncultured bacterium. RNAcentral describes it as "bacterial SSU rRNA". It matches the Rfam family "Bacterial small subunit ribosomal RNA", at positions 30 to 506 of the family's 1533-position model. The record is from RNAcentral.
UUGAACGCUGGCGGCAUGCCUUACACAUGCAAGUCGAACGGUAGAGGAGCAAUCCUCGAGAGUGGCGAACGGGUGAGUAAUGUAUCGGAACGUGCCCAGUAGUGGGGGAUAGCCCGGCGAAAGCCGGAUUAAUACCGCAUACGACCUACGGGUGAAAGCGGGGGACCGUAAGGCCUCGCGCUAUUGGAGCGGCCGAUGUCAGAUUAGGUAGUUGGUGGGGUAAAGGCCUACCAAGCCUACGAUCUGUAGCUGGUCUGAGAGGACGACCAGCCACACUGGGACUGAGACACGGCCCAGACUCCUACGGGAGGCAGCAGUGGGGAAUUUUGGACAAUGGGCGCAAGCCUGAUCCAGCCAUGCCGCGUGCGGGAAGAAGGCCUUCGGGUUGUAAACCGCUUUUGUCAGGGAAGAAACGCCUUGAGAUAAUACCUCGGGGUAAUGACGGUACCUGAAGAAUAAGCACCGGCUAACUACGU